CGUCAGGUGAAGGGAGAAAGCUGGUCACCCUCCAACAGGAUGAAGAGAAAUUUCAAAGUGAGAGAGAGAGAGAGAGAGAGAGGCCCUGUCUGGGGAGCACCUGAACAACCGAGCAUCAGGAGAGCAUGGGUGCCAGAUUACAGGUUGCAAGAAUCAAGUCGACCUUCCUUCCAGCUUCCAGGAACACCUGCACUGCUUUCGAAACAAACACAAGGCAGAGUCAGUGAUACCGGGAGCACUUUCAGCGGUUCCAAAGCUUGUUGCGACGUGAUACCUGCUCCACAAAGUUUAAUCGCCUCCUUCUAUUUCUUUACAAGAUGCAGGCAGGACAGAAUGUGACUGGACAGAUUUGGGAAGAUGAAUGAAGUGGUCAGUUUGUGGAUACUUCCAUCAUGACCUACGUUGAGAAGGAACCCAAAACAAUAUUGAAACUGGAGAACGGAUGACUGAUCUUUGUGAAAUCUGUCUGUUCCUUAUUUGAGGCUGGUGCAUUUGUCUGUCUCACAACAGUGACUGAACUUUAUCAAUGGAUAAAAUGCACUCAAUUGUCUGGAGAAGAUGGCUGUUUUAUUGUAACUAGGCCUCAAAUGAAAGUAAGUAGUAAAUUGCCAUUGAAAGUUGUGA
Stegostoma tigrinum is the source of this 624-nucleotide long non-coding RNA. RefSeq lists it as uncharacterized. The record is from RefSeq and is a predicted model, not a curated record. Lineage: Eukaryota; Metazoa; Chordata; Chondrichthyes; Orectolobiformes; Stegostomatidae. The transcript has 3 exons.